GUUGCUUUGGCCGAGUGGUUAAGGCGUGUGCCUGCUAAGUACAUGGGGUUUCCCAUGAGAGUUCGAAUCUCUCAAGCAACG
This 81-nucleotide transfer RNA is filed under the name Ipomoea nil (Japanese morning glory). It matches the Rfam family "tRNA". From Rfam's summary of the family: Transfer RNA (tRNA) molecules are approximately 80 nucleotides in length. The record is from Rfam by way of RNAcentral. Lineage: Eukaryota; Viridiplantae; Streptophyta; Magnoliopsida; Solanales; Convolvulaceae.